UACGGGAGGCAGCAGNAAGGAAUUUUCCGCAAUGGGCGCAAGCCUGACGGAGCAACGCCGCGUGCGGGAUGACGCGUUUCGGGGUGUAAACCGCUGUUCGUGGGGACGAAGCACUGACGGUACCCACGGAGGAAGGCCCGGCUAACUACGUGCCAGCAGCCGCGGUAAUACGUAGGGGCCGAGCGUUGUCCGGAGUUACUGGGCGUAAAGCGUGCGCAGGCGGCCUGUCGCGCCCGGCGUGAAAGCCCCCGGCUCAACCGGGGAGGGUCGUCGGGGACGGGCAGACUUGAGGGCAGCAGGGGCUGGUGGAAUUCCCGGUGUAGUGGUGAAAUGCGUAGAGAUCGGGAGGAACACCCGUGGCGAAGGCGGCCAGCUGGGCUGGACCUGACGCUGAGGCACGAAGGCGUGGGGAGCGAACGGGAUUAGAUACCCCGGUAGUCCACGCAGUAAACGAUGCAGACUAGGCGUGGGGGGACUUGACCCCCUCCGUGCCGGAGCUAACGCGGGAA
Molecule: ribosomal RNA, 509 nt
Filed under: uncultured Chloroflexota bacterium
Lineage: Bacteria; Bacillati; Chloroflexota
Description: bacterial SSU rRNA
Rfam family: Bacterial small subunit ribosomal RNA
Source: RNAcentral